GUGCAAGUAUUCCCCAAGAAGAAUGUUCAUUUUGUCAAAGACAGCACUAUUUGCCACCCUUGUGGGAAUUUCAUAGUACUUACUUAUACUGAAAUCAAGAAAAAGACUAUACUCCAGUGUAUGAAUGGAAUUGUGGGCAUCCUGGCAACUAGUGUUCCUUAUGAAGUUGUGGCUUUUUCUGACAGCAGCUCUGAUCCGUCAUCUACAUAUACAACUUCCUCUGAAAUGACCAGAAAGAUCAAAUUAAAAGGCAAUGUUCUCCUGGACUAUACUUUCCUUCAGUUACUGUGGCAUCUACCUGGCUAGCCACUCCUCCCUCCCAGAAUUUUAACUGGCCCUCUGGUCCUUCCUUAUUGGCUCUCACCACACAUACCCAUACACCAUUGACUUACUCCCAGGGAAUCAUUGAUGUGCUUAUUCACAUCCUGGGUUAGUUUGCAUUUUCAAGAAUUACACAUACAUUAUAUACUCUUUUUGGGGGGAUCUGGCUUCUUCCAUGCAGCACAAUUAUUUUA
Long non-coding RNA from Cervus elaphus (red deer), 515 nucleotides. RefSeq lists it as uncharacterized. The transcript is spliced from 3 exons. NCBI's taxonomy places the organism in Eukaryota, Metazoa, Chordata, Mammalia, Artiodactyla, Cervidae. The record is from RefSeq and is a predicted model, not a curated record.